RNAcentral lists this long non-coding RNA (354 nucleotides) under Heterocephalus glaber (naked mole-rat). RNAcentral's name for it is "lncRNA (ENSHGLG00000032031.1)". The record is from RNAcentral. Lineage: Eukaryota; Metazoa; Chordata; Mammalia; Rodentia; Bathyergidae.
GUGCCCAUGAGAUCAAAGUCAUCUGCUAGCAGUGGAAAGAAACUAACUUUGACUUCUAUGGUUCAUGAGAACUAACUGUGAUUUCUAGUAUCCGGGAUCAAACUCAGGACCUUGUGCUUGCAAGUUUGCCAAACAAGAUGAUGCACAGCUCACAGAGUACUGGGAAUCAAACUCGGGAUCUUGCACUUGCGAGGCAGGCGGCGGAACCACUGAGCUAAAUCCCCGGCCCAUGGCCAGCUAUGUUUUAGAAUAACUCAGAAUGAUGCCCACCCAGGGCAGGUACUCAAAUAUUGGCUGUCAUCCAGUUCCUCACCAGAGAGCUGCGGGUCUCCAAGUGCCUUCCACACGCCUAGG